This is a non-coding RNA of Ciona savignyi (Pacific transparent sea squirt), 119 nucleotides long. The record is from Rfam. Lineage: Eukaryota; Metazoa; Chordata; Ascidiacea; Phlebobranchia; Cionidae.
GCUUAUCACCACUCCAGAUUGAAUAUACCCGAUCUCGUCUGAUCUCGGAAGUCAAGCAAUCUCGGGCUUGGUUAGUACUUGAAUGGGUGACCGCUUGGGAAUACCAAGUGUGAUAAGCA